UGAGGAAUUUUGCGCAAUGGGGGAAACCCUGACGCAGCAACGCCGCGUGAGUGAAGAAGGCCCUUGGGUCGUAAAGCUCUGUCGACAGGGAAGAAAUUAACAUCAUCCAAUAGGUGUUGUUAUUGACGGUACCUGUAGAGGAAGCACCGGCUAACUCCGUGCCAGCAGCCGCGGUAAUACGGGGGGUGCAAGCGUUAUUCGGAAUUAUUGGGCGUAAAGGGCGCGUAGGCGGUCUUGUCGGUCAGAUGUGAAAGCCCAGGGCUCAACCCUGGACGUGCAUUUGAAACAGCAAGACUUGAGUACGGGAGAGGAGAGCGGAAUUCCUGGUGUAGAGGUGAAAUUCGUAGAUAUCAGGAGGAACACCGAUGGCGAAGGCAGCUCUCUGGACCGAUACUGACGCUGAGGCGCGAAGGCGUGGGUAGCGAACA
Molecule: ribosomal RNA, 428 nt
Filed under: uncultured bacterium
Lineage: Bacteria
Description: bacterial SSU rRNA
Rfam family: Bacterial small subunit ribosomal RNA
Source: RNAcentral